AUCGCUUCUCGGCCUUUUGGCUAAGAUCAAGUGUAUUCUAUAUUUCAAAUAUAUAAUCUGAAAAGAUGCAAAGAUAAGAAAUUAGUAAAUUAAGGGCUGGGGAUUUAGCUCAGUGGUUCCAGUGCCUGCCUCACAAACUCAAGGAUCUGAGUUCGAUCCCC
RNAcentral lists this small nuclear RNA (161 nucleotides) under Heterocephalus glaber (naked mole-rat). Its description in RNAcentral is "U2 spliceosomal RNA". It matches the Rfam family "U2 spliceosomal RNA". From Rfam's summary of the family: U2 is a small nuclear RNA (snRNA) component of the spliceosome (involved in pre-mRNA splicing). Complementary binding between U2 snRNA (in an area lying towards the 5' end but 3' to hairpin I) and the branchpoint sequence (BPS) of the intron results the bulging out of an unpaired adenosine, on the BPS, which initiates a nucleophilic attack at the intronic 5' splice site, thus starting the first of two transesterification reactions that mediate splicing. The record is from Rfam by way of RNAcentral. Lineage: Eukaryota; Metazoa; Chordata; Mammalia; Rodentia; Bathyergidae.